CUCAGGUACUGGAGGUCCGAACCCACCAAUUUUGAAAAAUUAGGGGAUGAGCUGUGGAUAGGGGUGAAAGGCUAAACAAAUCCGGAAAUAGCUGGUUCUCCCCGAAAACUAUUUAGGUAGUGCGUCAUGUAUCACUUGCGGGGGUAAAGCACUGUUAUGGCUAGGGGGUCAUCGCGACUUACCAAACCAUGGCAAACUCUGAAUACCGCAAAGUGCGAGCAUGGCAGACAGACAGUGGGUGCUAACGUCCAUUGUCAAGAGGGAAACAACCCAGACCGCCAGCUAAGGUCCCCAAGACACAGUUAAGUGGGAAACGAAGUGGGAAGGCAUAGACAGCUAGGAGGUUGGCUUAGAAGCAGCCAUCCUUUAAAGAAAGCGUAAUAGCUCACUAGUCGAGUCGUCCUGCGCGGAAGAUGUAACGGGGCUCAAACUGUGCACCGAAGCUGCGGAUAUCGAAAGAUAUGGUAGGGGAGCGUUCUGUAGGUCUGUGAAGGUGUCUUGUAAAGGAUGCUGGAGAUAUCAGAAGUGCGAAUGCUGACAUGAGUAGCGAUAAAGGGCGUGAAAAGCGCCCUCGCCGAAAGCCCAAGGUUUCCUACGCAACGUUCAUCGGCGUAGGGUGAGUCGGCUCCUAAGGCGAGGCAGAAAUGCGUAGUCGAUGGGAAACAGGUCAAUAUUCCUGUACCGAUUCUAGAUGCGAUGUGGGGACGGAGAAGGUUAGGUCAGCCGGGUGUUGGACGUCCCGGUUUAGGCGUGUAGGCGUGCCCCUUAGGCAAAUCCGGGGGGCUGAGCUGAGGCGUGAUGACGAGGAACCACGGUUCCGAAGUGAUUGAUACCAAGCUUCCAGGAAAAGCCACUAAGCUUCAGUCUAGAGUUGACCGUACCGCAAACCGACACAGGUGGGCAGGAUGAAAAUUCUAAGGCGCUUGAGAGAACUCAGGAGAAGGAACUCGGCAAAUUAACACCGUAACUUCGGGAGAAGGUGUGCCCCGGUAGCGUGUAGAGACUUGCUCUCGAAGCGCGAUGGGGUUGCAGUGAAAUGGUGGCUGCGACUGUUUAAUAAAAACACAGCACUCUGCAAACACGAAAGUGGACGUAUAGGGUGUGACGCCUGCCCGGUGCCGGAAGGUUAAGUGAUGGGGUGCAAGCUCUUGAUCGAAGCCCCGGUAAACGGCGGCCGUAACAAUAACGGUCCUAAGGUAGCGAAAUUCCUUGUCGGGUAAGUUCCGACCUGCACGAAUGGCGUAACGAUGGCCACACUGUCUCCUCCUGGGACUCAGCGAAGUUGAAAUGUUUGUGAAGAUGCAAUCUACCCGCGGCUAGACGGAAAGACCCCAUGAACCUUUACUGUAGCUUUGCAUUGGACUUUGAACCGGUUC
RNAcentral lists this ribosomal RNA (1376 nucleotides) under metagenome. RNAcentral's name for it is "bacterial LSU rRNA". It matches the Rfam family "Bacterial large subunit ribosomal RNA", at positions 758 to 2135 of the family's 2925-position model. The record is from RNAcentral.